This 611-nucleotide ribosomal RNA is filed under the name Streptomyces filamentosus. Its description in RNAcentral is "bacterial SSU rRNA". It matches the Rfam family "Bacterial small subunit ribosomal RNA", at positions 56 to 685 of the family's 1533-position model. Lineage: Bacteria; Bacillati; Actinomycetota; Actinomycetes; Kitasatosporales; Streptomycetaceae. The record is from RNAcentral.
UGCAGUCGAACGAUGAAGCCCUUCGGGGUGGAUUAGUGGCGAACGGGUGAGUAACACGUGGGCAAUCUGCCCUUCACUCUGGGACAAGCCCUGGAAACGGGGUCUAAUACCGGAUACGAGUUCAGGAGGCAUCUUCUGGACUGGAAAGCUCCGGCGGUGAAGGAUGAGCCCGCGGCCUAUCAGCUUGUUGGUGGGGUAACGGCCCACCAAGGCGACGACGGGUAGCCGGCCUGAGAGGGCGACCGGCCACACUGGGACUGAGACACGGCCCAAACUCCUACGGGAGGCAGCAGUGGGGAAUAUUGCACAAUGGGCGAAAGCCUGAUGCAGCGACGCCGCGUGAGGGAUGACGGCCUUCGGGUUGUAAACCUCUUUCAGCAGGGAAGAAGCGAAAGUGACGGUACCUGCAGAAAAAGCGCCGGCUAACUACGUGCCAGCAGCCGCGGUAAUACGUAGGGCGCAAGCGUUGUCCGGAAUUAUUGGGCGUAAAGAGCUCGUAGGCGGCUUGUCACGUCGGGUGUGAAAGCCCGGGGCUUAACCCCGGGUCUGCAUCCGAUACGGGCAGGCUAGAGUGUGGUAGGGGAGAUCGGAAUUCCUGGUGUAGCGGUGAA